UGGCAUCGAAAAGGGACGGGUUAUCCGGCUGGAUUGUUCCGUAUAAUUUCGGUGCAAGAAAAUAGAGAGGCGCAGUGUUACUCUUCUUUACACACCCUGUAUCUGGAGAGUGUCAAGCGGUUCCCACAAUA
RNAcentral lists this small nucleolar RNA (131 nucleotides) under Caenorhabditis japonica. RNAcentral describes it as "snoRNA CJA48455". It matches the Rfam family "Caenorhabditis snoRNA ceN80". The record is from Rfam by way of RNAcentral. Lineage: Eukaryota; Metazoa; Nematoda; Chromadorea; Rhabditida; Rhabditidae.